This is a long non-coding RNA of Cervus elaphus (red deer), 186 nucleotides long. RefSeq lists it as uncharacterized. NCBI's taxonomy places the organism in Eukaryota, Metazoa, Chordata, Mammalia, Artiodactyla, Cervidae. The record is from RefSeq and is a predicted model, not a curated record. The transcript is spliced from 3 exons.
GAAACAUCAGAACAACUGUGAAGGAAGAAGACAGGAAAAAUUGUCAACUUCAAACUUUAUUUAAGCAUUUUGAAUAUAUCAUGUCACUUUUUCCUGGUCUGCAAGGUUUCUGCUGAGCAAUAUACUGGUAACCUUAUUGGCAGGGAGAAAGGUUUCCAAGGUGGCUCAGUGGUAAAGAAUCCUCCU